AUCUCACACAUAUUUUCCGCGAACUCGAUCGAUCAGCAUCGUCACACUCUAUAGGGGGAAGAAAGAAAGAAAGAAAAAGCCACCACGAAAACACAAACAAUUCUCUCCGAAUUUUCCUUAUUUUCUUCUUAAUCCUAACCACUAAUUUCCCUUCUCUUUCGCACCCUUUCCAUUCUCAUUCCCUCAUCUUAAUUAGGGUUCCUCUCCUCAUUCCUCUUCAUUCUAUUUCUCAACUAACGCUCUCGUUUUUCUUCGAUUCUCUUUUAUCAUCUUUUCUUUUUCAAUCCCAAUCAUCACCACUAAAAAAAACAACAAAAAAUAUUGCUACAAAAAAUUUCGUUGUUUUGGUUUUCAUUUCUGGAAGAAAAAAAAUACGAUUUGUUUUUCUUCAUCUGAUUCGAUUAUAG
Non-coding RNA from Vicia faba (fava bean), 407 nucleotides. Lineage: Eukaryota; Viridiplantae; Streptophyta; Magnoliopsida; Fabales; Fabaceae. The record is from the annotation of a GenBank genome assembly.